UACGAAGGGAGCGAGCGUUGUUCGGAAUCACUGGGCUUAAAGCGUGCGUAGGCGGAUUGGUAAGUAAGAAGUGAAAGCCCAGGGCUUAACCCUGGAACUGCUUUUUAGACUGCCUGUCUGGAAUUCGGUAGAGGUUGGUGGAACUCCUAGUGUAGAGGUGAAAUUCGCAGAUAUUAGGAAGAACACCGGUGGCGAAGGCGACCAACUGGACCGAUAUUGACGCUGAGGCACGAAAGCGUGGGUAGCAAACAGG
RNAcentral lists this ribosomal RNA (253 nucleotides) under uncultured bacterium. RNAcentral's name for it is "partial 16S ribosomal RNA". It matches the Rfam family "Bacterial small subunit ribosomal RNA", at positions 524 to 776 of the family's 1533-position model. The record is from RNAcentral.